This 377-nucleotide ribosomal RNA is filed under the name uncultured bacterium. RNAcentral's name for it is "bacterial SSU rRNA". It matches the Rfam family "Bacterial small subunit ribosomal RNA", at positions 523 to 898 of the family's 1533-position model. The record is from RNAcentral.
AGACGUAGGGGGCGAGCGUUGUCCGGAAUUACUGGGCGUAAAGAGCGUGUAGGCGGAUAUUUAAGUCAGGUGUGAAAGACCGGGGCUCAACUCCGGGGUUGCACUUGAAACUGGGUAUCUUGAGGGCAGGAGAGGAAAGUGGAAUUCCUGGUGUAGCGGUGAAAUGCGUAGAUAUCAGGAGGAACAUCGGUGGCGAAGGCGGCUUUCUGGACUGACCCUGACGCUGAGACGCGAAAGCGUGGGGAGCAAACAGGAUUAGAUACCCUGGUAGUCCACGCUGUAAACGAUGGGCACUAGGUGUAGGAGGUAUCGACCCCUUCUGUGCCGCAGCUAACGCAAUAAGUGCCCCGCCUGGGGAGUACGGUCGCAAGGCUGAA